This is a long non-coding RNA of Carlito syrichta (Philippine tarsier), 443 nucleotides long. RefSeq lists it as uncharacterized. Lineage: Eukaryota; Metazoa; Chordata; Mammalia; Primates; Tarsiidae. The transcript is spliced from 2 exons. The record is from RefSeq and is a predicted model, not a curated record.
AUUAAUCACGACGACCAGCGAAUGCGAAAUGCGGGCCCGUGUUGAGGCUGGCGCUUAAUCCCGGACGUAAUUCUGGAAAGCAGCCGCAGCCCAGGACUUCCUUAAUCCCUCGCACGAGCAAAGGCGCUCGCUGACCUACCAGGCUGGCUUUUCCGCAGCCGCCCCGAGAGUUCGCCUCGCUGGAGAUGCAGACACACAAGGAAAGCCACAGCCAUUCAGGCUCCUCAUUUGUCGGCAGCCCGACAGUGGUGCCCUUUCUCUGUGGCUGCUUCCCUGCCUCGGGAGCAGCAGUUAUGGUAGAAGCAGAUGGCUACUGGUUGGGGGAGCUUUGUGGCGCUAAUGCUGAAUACUUUAUGGAAAAGGACUUUGUCAUGCUUCGUUGGGCAGAGGAACAAGGGGCUGAGAUUUACGGUCAGGAAAAAUAAAUCUUUUCCCAAGUUGUG